This 9885-nucleotide long non-coding RNA is filed under the name Gallus gallus (chicken). RNAcentral describes it as "lncRNA (ENSGALG00010014638.1)". Lineage: Eukaryota; Metazoa; Chordata; Aves; Galliformes; Phasianidae. The record is from RNAcentral.
AGAGGAAGAGAGAAAUGUUGAGCUUACGAUACUUCACCCACACUGCUUUUUAUGCAGCUGAAAGUAGAAGCUGAUGUAACUUCUGCUUCCUGUCCUUGUACUGUAUAUCCCAUCUCAAUUGCAGUUCUGGCUCUAUUGUUUUUUUUUAAUUUGGGGGUGUGGGUAAGGGUUGGUUUUGUUUGUUCAUUUGGUUUUUAAACCAAUGCCUCACAUUCUGUGAACUGAAGUGAUAGAAAAUUUUUAGAUUUUUUAUGGGUUAGAAUGUUUUGGGGUUUUUUUUCCUGAUGUUUUUUCUUAUCCAACAAGCAUAUUACAGAGUUCCAAAGACUGCAGAGUUCUCAAAAGAUAUGCAGCAGAACUGGCAGUUCCACUUUGGCAUCCAUGAGACUCAUUUAUCUUUAGCCACACUUUGAAUUUUCAUUUUUCUUUUUUUUCUACCACAUACAGAAAAUUUAACCUUCCCAGAGGAGGAUCCAAAUUUAUGCUACAGUGCUCAGCUCCUCUUUUAAGGAGAGAGGAAAUAAUAGAAAAUAAAUGUAAGAAACAAUAAGAAAUGCCCAGUGCUUUAUUCUAUUGGGUUCUAGUCCACCUAUGGAAAUAAUCAUUGAACGUCAUGCGGUCAUAAACACAGGGUGUGCCACAUACAGCGUAGAUUCUAAGGUCUUCUGUGUGAACAGGCUCUUACUGUUCUCUGUUUCUCAGAAUUGAACUGUACAAUGAUCAGGGACACAAAGGGGAAAAGAAAAGAGGAAACCUAAUUGUAGCUGAUGGCAGGUGACUCUAGUGCGAGUGCUGGCUAACAGACCUGACCAGUGUGCCCCUUGAGAGGUAUGCAAGUUUCACUGGAACAUACUAUGAGUCUACCAUGUUAUGAAACGUACAUUUAAGGAUGGUGAGAGCAGUAACAAGAGAAAACAUAGCAAGUUUAUUGGAAGAAUCUGUUCAAGAGGGCUAAUUCUCCCAAACUGAACAUACAUGGAUACUGAAGAGAAACUUCUAGCUCUGUCUGGAGACACAGUAAGAAAUGCAGUGGCCUUGUGCAACAUUGCAAAGAUUCAGACUGGACAGGUUUGCCUGGAAAAGUAAUGAAGGAUUCAGAUCAUCACCUUGUGUGUUGUUCUCUCCACACAACUUGGAUCAUGGAGCUGGAGCUGAGGGAGCAGGUGAGAUCUUGAAUCCAUUGCAAGCAGAGGAAAUGUUGUGAGGAACUUCACUUGGGCCACACAGUAGGUAGCUGCAUUUCAGCCUCUGAAGCAAAGGUCAGGUAUACUUCGGUCUGAUGGAAACAUACCUUCUGAGAAGAUUUUUGUGAGCAAUGUAAAAGCUUUCUUAUCCUGUGAUCCAGCUUCCAGUACUGCAUAUGCACCUUGAUUACUUUUCUGUGCAGUGGAGUCAUUGUGAAUCAUAGAAUCACAGCAUUGCAUCACACUGUGGAAGGAAAGCAGUCAUGAAUGGAUACCUGCAGCAACAUGCAGGAAUCAUGGUAGGGGACAACUACACUGUGCACUCUGGAGCAUAUAUAUACACCUUUAUUGUCCUAACCACUUUCAUACUAUGCACAAACCAAAAUGACUUGAAAUUAAUCAAAUUCUGCAUCUUGAGAGAUCCAACAGUAACUGAAAUGACAAAAUUCAGGUGAUCCAAUAAGCUUGAGAAGCAUAUGACAGUAUACACUACAAGACAAACUUUAAACUACAGGCUAAAUGAUUAUGCAUGAUUCAUAGCGUUCUGGAAGAAAACAAACAAACAAACAAACAAAAAACCUCAGCAUCCUGAACAACUCAAGGAAGUACAUUAGAAACUUUCUAUUUCUCCAUCUCCACUCCACUGGAACAAAGUAUGCUGAAUCGGGCAAGGAUUUGGACAGAAAUAUUACUAAAUUUAAAUGUUUUCUAGAGAAUAGGUGGAGUAGUUUUCUUUUAAUAUAUUAAUUUUUUUUUUAAUAAAACAUUUUAUUUUAAAAUGAUUAAGAGAAAAUGAGAAAAUAGCUUUCCAUUUUGGGGGAAAAAAAUGGAUGAAAGGACAACUACAACUUUAGGAAUUUUUAAAAUACCAUCAGUAACAUCUUGGACUUCAAUACUACAAGCAAGAUAAAUGAGAGUAAACUAACUUUCACAAUAAGUGGUCUCCCAGUGAAAGAUGCCAAGUGAGAGGGAAUGUAAAGGAUGCAAUUUUGAACAAAUUAGAAUACUUUUUUUUCCAAAGAGAUACAAAUCUCAGGCUUCCUGUACUUGUUUGUAUCCUACUCUUUCACACCAAUCUUGUGCUUAAAUGUUGCUUCUAAACAUUAUAUUCAAAAUCUAAUAUGUUUUUAAAAUACUUCUAAUUUCUGACUAUUAUUGUAAACGUUUAUUAUUACAUUUUCAUCAGCAGGAUUUUUGUUAAACUAUAAUCUAUAAUCCUGUUAGUUUUGACUAUUUUCUGUGGCUGAAUUUAUAGGAAUAAGAAUGUUCAUAGUGACUCAAACUCUCAUUUUUCAUUAAGAUAAAGGAACAAGUUAUAGAAUAAAAAGUAAACAGUAACAACAAAAAAUUAAGCCAGGAAAAUAGAUUCUGAUAGCAAUGAAGUGACUCCAAUGAAAAAUUAUUAUUAAAAUAAACUUCAAAUCCUUGAUAUUUAGCUAUUCACAGCAUGUGUUUGAAAUUAACUAAGGAACAACAUAACCAAUGAUUUCCUUAAACAUAAGUGCUGCUAAAAUGAAAUCCAAUACAUAUUUCUUAUAGCAAUGUAAUAUCCCAUUAACUUAACAUUUCUGAGCUGAACAGAAAAAAGUCCGUUCAACUUCACUAAGGAAUUUAAAAUAGUGUUUUUUUUUUCCUCAUCUGUGGUUACAGUUUUGAAGUGUGUAAAUAAAACUUAUUCAAUUCAUAAUGAAACAAAUUACACAUAGUCUUAUAUGGUGACUCUCUACAUCAAGAAGAAAAUAGCGUAAAGAGCUGUUCUUGAAGAAUGGCCACAAGUAAGUCAAAAGCUUAUGGGUGAGAGUUAGAGACGGAAGCAACGAAGAGAGCCAUGUGGUUGGGAUCUACUACAGGUUACCUGAUAAAGUGGAGCCGGUUGAUGAAAGCCUUCUUCCUCCAGCUACAGGAAGUAACACUAGCUCUCAUCCUGCUGGGGGACUUCCACCACCCUGACAUCUGCUGGAAAAGCCAUAUAGCUAGUGGUAGGUAACACAGGAGGCUCCUGGAAUGCAUCAAGAACAACUUCUAGAGCCUAGUGAUAGACAGCUCCCCCAGGGGGAUACAAUACUGGACCUGUUACUCACCAAUCCAAGUGAACUGACUGGUGACAUCAGGAUUGGAAGAUGCCUGCAGGCUGCGGUGACUAUGCACUCAUGGAGUUCACACUCUUGAGAGAUUUGUGAGAGAAAAAUUAAAACCAGGAUGCUCAAUCUCGGAAUGCUCUUCAGGAAGUUAUUUAACAAAAUCCUCUGGGAAUCUGUCCUCAAGGACAAAGGGAGAGGAACAGAGCUGGAAGAUCUUUAAGGAAGCUUUUCUUAGGGCACAAGAGCCCUCCAUCUCCAGGUGUAGGAAGUCAGGAAAGGAAGGCAAAAGUCUUGCACGGCUGAGUGAGACUAACUGGUCAAUCUGGAGAACAAGAAGAAAAUGGACCAGCAGUGGAAGAAGAGACGGGAUCACAAAAUGAUCCAAGGGAUGGAACAAGAACAGGCUGAGAGAGUUAGAGCUGUUUAGUCUAUUACAGAGAUGGCUCUGGGGAUAUGUGACAGGGGCCUUUCAGCAUCUAGAAGACGACUAUAAGAAAGAAGGGGGCAGACUCUUUAGCAGAAUCUGUUGUGAUAGGACAAGGGGAAAUGGUUGCAAACUAGAGAGAAUAUAACAGGGAAGUUUUUUGUGAUAAGGAUACUGAAGCACUAGAACAGGUUGACCAAAGAGGUGGUGGAAGCCCUGACCCCAGAGGCAUUCAAGGAAAGGCUGGAUGGGACCCUGAGGAACCUGAUCUAGCUGUAGAUGGUCCUGUUCACUGCAGGGGAGUUGGACUAGAUGACCUUUAAAGGGUCCCUUCUGUAACACAAUGGUAAGCACAACAGUGACAGAGAGCACCAAGAUUCCAGGCCACAGCAAGUUAGGAUUCACUCAAACACAACAAUGAGCACAAAAAAUAAGGGAAAGACACUGCUUACCUUCAGAAGGCCUCAGAUAUAUAGCAAUCCCCAAAAGCCUUACCUUCAAUGCCAACCCUUAAAUGAGAUCUGGGAAGAGGUGGAUCCUGGCUCCACCCAUUCCGGUCACUCAGGGGCCCUGCAUGUAUCUGAACUGCCCUGGGUUGGCCCUGCCUUCCUCCAGGUGCUCAGUCACUCUUUCAAGCCAUGACUGAGCAUUUUCACUACACCUACACCUUCCAGCACAAAUGAUUGUAUGACUGUGAUUUUAUGAUACACUGAUAACUACUACUAUAAUUGAUCGGCAAUCUCUGAGAAAUACCUACACCCAAUGAAAUCCACAAGCAAAAUAAUAGAGGUGUACUUUUGUUCAAAUUCUUUUGUUUUUUUCCUCUGUUUCCUAAUGGUUAUUCUUAAAGGGAUUUGUGGCAGACUAAUCUAUUUCUCUGAUUUUUAAAUAAACCUACCACAUGAAAUGCUUUGUCCUCUUUUUGAUGCAGAAGGCACAGUUGUGUGGUUCUUUAAAUUCUUUUGCAGUAAUAAGCAUUUUGACAGAGACCAGAUGACUAAGCAAACCAUUCUCUGUCAUUUUUAUGGAUCAUAUGAUAGAAAGUGUGUCGUGUUUAUUUUUUGUCUUUUCUCUUUCUCAGCUACUUAUUGGAAUAUUCAUUACUGUUUCUCAGUUACUGUAUCAAUUAAUAGGAAGAACUGUUGAGAGUCUAUGUAUGUCAAAGACUGACCACAGUCUAACUUGGACUGCAGGAUAUCCUAGUCAUACCACUUACAAGAGAACCGGGUACAUUUUUCUUCUUAAAUAGCAGAAAUUUAUAUGAAUAUGACUUAUGUGAAAAUGAGAUUUUACUAUGGCUAUUUAGUUUCAUGUGUUUUGAAAUAAAUUGACAGUGCUAUAGAAACCAAAAGCAAUGGAAAUUUCUGUGGAAAAACAAAACAAAACAAAACAAAACAAAACAAAAAACUGUUGUGUAUUCCCACUUCUGUAGACAGUGUAAAGAAGUGAGAAGGCAUGGCUGUAUUUGUGCUUCCACAUACAGCUGCCACAGGCUAACAAAUAUCCAGUGAGAAGUGUAUGUUGAAAGAAAUGUACGUGUGCUAAUAUUUAAUCUCAGAAUGGCAUUGCAUUUUUCUUUUUUCUAUUGAUGUUUAUUUUACUCAGUCUCACUAGAGAGUUCUGUUACUGUUUUUAUGUUACAGUUCUUGUGCUUUAGGAAAAAGAAUCUAAAGCCAAGGGGGCUAAUGUUCUUCUAUUUUAGAGCUUUUCUUUUCCUGAAUGCAUGCAUGUAGCUACAAGUAGCAAGAGUGUUUAUUGCAGUUGACUGUGUUUCUAAAAAGCAGAUGCCAAGGGUGCUUUGAACCCUGCUUCUCACUGUUUUCAGACCACAGAACACCGUGCAAGUUAUGAAAUCUGUCAAGGAGCAAUUUCCCUUCUCAGCUUCAUAAUUCCUUUGUUGUGCUUAUGCUGAGUGACAACAUCAAGCUAAAACAGUACAGAUUAACAAGGACAUGUAACUUAAAUAAACUCAGAGUCGUGGAUAGGUUCAGUUGUGUGGUUAUCUUCAACCUAUGGUCUUUUUCAUCUGUUGUUCUCUAGUGUAGAUGUAACGUGCUCCUGGAAAUAAUCUUUAAACUGGCAACCAAACCUUGAGAAUCUGACCAUCACUGCACAAAAAAAAAAAAAAAAAAAUAAAAAAAAUCAGUCCUUAUAUUUUCUUUAUUAUGAAUAAUAAGGACUCUCAUGAACCAAGCUUGGUCCUUGAAUGUGUGUUUUUCUCCCAUGAAAAACACUGUAGCAGAGAGAAGGUAGCAAGACAACAAAAUGGUGAAAAUCACACCUAUAUGGCAAUUUUAUUCCUUUAGUCAUUAAUACUGCAGAACAAGACUGAGAACCAUUAGGCUGUUUCAUCAAGUUCUCACCAUGAGGCUCAACAGAUCUCUUCUGACCAGAAGGAGAAAUGCCACAAGGAAAAUUCACAUGUAGGGUGGUGUAUGAUAAAUUCUGUCAAGGGUCUUACUUUGUUUGAUCAUGUAAUUUAUGUCUAUACAUUAAGAUACCUCAUGACCAAAUGACACUGACAGGCUCAUGACUGUGCUGUGUACACGUUGUCUCCCAUUGCUCUGCAGCAGAUGAACCCAAGGAAGCCCAAGCCCAGGAAGAAGCUGGAAACCCCAAAACAGGACUGAGAAGCAAGCUAAUAACUGUGCAACAGAGGCAAACAGGCAUCUGUCUCUUUAACUGGAUCCUGACCUUCUUUGUUUAGCAAUGCAAACAUAUAAUAAUGGCUUGAACAUGGGGUUGCAGGCCACAUUAGGAUUUGGAAACUAGCUGGCAGCACCUGAUCAAACACAGCCUCAAACCCUGCUUUGGUUUUGCGAAAUCUCCCACCUAAUUAUUUUUAUUUGAGCCUACUCUAGCUCCUGUAGCUUAUACAUGAAAGUCACUUCAUUUAUCUCCCUGUUCAUAGAGAAAAAGAGGAAGCCAAAGAGAUAAUUGUGACUCAGAUAAUUCUGCUGGAGUGGCACAUUUAUAUUUUUUAUUUAAUUUUCAGUAUUACAAUUAAAGUCAUAGCUUCUAAGUAAAUCUGAUAUACUGGUCUUUUCUAACAUAUUUAUUAGCUGACUUACACAUUCCAGUAUCAGUCCCGGGAAAGUACAGAUUUUUUGACUUCUCAGAUUCUGUAUGAACCUAAAGCUUGUGAGAGAACAAAAGGGGAAAACUUUACCACUCUUAUCAGAUGGUAGACUGUCCAUUUGGCAUUCUGCCUGGAAACUUGCAAACUCAAUUAAAUGCACAUAUGGUCCAUAGCAGGCAGAAUCAUUUUUUGCCAACACACGUUCCUCUUAUGGCACUUCCAAACUGUACCCAUGCUAGAUAGCUUUUUCCACAUAGGUGAUUUUUUUCCACUUCUCCAGCAGCAGCAACUCAGCAUAUUGUAUUUUCUGCCCUGGAAGAAUACAGGGAAGAAUGCCAAGAUGAACAUCAGUUUGAACUCCAUGGGGGUGAUUUUGCUAUUGAGGAGUUUUUGUUGAGGAAGACAGGUAUGGAGAUACCUAGAUUUAAUGAGCAGUGCUGGUAGAAUUAAUAAAUCUUUUCAAUACUCCCUGAAGCAGCUGCUCUCUUUUGAAAUAAUGAGCAUAUGGUUUCAUUAUAUUUCAUUGAUUUGAUCCCCUUCAGCUAAAGAAAUAUUUCAGUGGAAUGCAAACAACUUACAGAAUUUCUGCAUAUUUCUCACCCUUUUUAUUUUUCCUGGCUAAACAGAAAGCUGACUAGCAUGUAAAAGGAAGAGCUAGAGGCAGCAUUCCUAUUCCUUAAUAGGGGUUGUAUGAGGGGCAAUGGGGCCUUUGACAAUAAUGAGGACCUGUGUGUGCCUUGAAGCUACAGUGCUUGGGGGUUCCCUUUAAGGUUUGAUUGUGUGGAAGAAACUGUGUGAAAGAAACAAGAUCAAGCUGAACUAACCCUACUUAUAAGACAUAGUCUUUACAUAAAAAUUUUCUCUAGAGGUAGGGGAUAGGCAGAGAGGAAGGUGAGAAUGCAUCAAAAUGGCUUGUUAAACCAACAUGUUCAAACUUCGUAGAAAGAAAAUGUUGCAGGAUAGUUUUAAAUUGUCUUUGAGAACAAACCUUUCAAAGCAAAGAUUUUUUUAUUUUCUCAGUUGCUGAAGACAUCUCCCCACCCAGCUGUUUUGAGGAGAAACUGCAUUCAGUAUUUUAUCCACUCUACAUCUUGCUACUGACAUUAGAAAACCAAAUUCUGAAGUGAAAGCAAAGUGAAAGUCACCUGCAGUUUUUUUUUUUUUUUUUUUUUUUUUUUUUUUUUUUUUUCUGUAAGAUCUUUCUGGAAUAUGAUUUCUGACAGCUGCAAGCUCACAAGCUAUCUUUUUGCAGGUGCCAAAAUAAAUAAGGAAAACUUGCAUAUGUUUUCAUUAGGAAACUGGGUAGAUUUGGCAGUUCUGGGCUCUCUAGGAAGGGAACCAUUCCUGGAAAAGCUGGUGACUGAUAGAGAGGUGCUAUACUGCGCUCUCUCAACAGUGGGGAAGAUGUAGAGCCUGCUUCUGGUUACUUGGCUCUAUUCCUUAUUCAUUGCCACUACAGCAUUCUUCAGUAUACAUACAUUUGUACAUUCCUCCUUUAUAUGCACAUUUGUGUAUGAAUAUAUGUUGGUUUAAAUAUACAUAUGUACAGUAUAUUCAGUAGACUUUAUAGUUUUUGUGAACAGCAAAUCACAUAAUGACAGUUCACAAGAUUGUAUUUCUUCUCCAGAAAAAAACACUGCAAUAUUACAGAAAGUACUUCAGUUUUUUUUUUCUAUAUUUUUCCUUUAAUAAAAUCUGAUUAUUUACAGACAUUUUCCCAUUGUGGUAUUUCAGAAGGAAAACUAUCCAGUUGUUUUGUAAUAUUGUAUUAACUUAAUUUUUCAUCUGAUGCAAAGGCCUAGUAUUGCAUCAUGUAAUUAUCGAUGUUUUGAAGCCAAAACAAAAGAAUUCACUUCCAGAUCUUCACCACAUUUGAACCAAUAAGCUCUAAUUGUCCAUUCAGGCCUAUGAGUUGCAAUGUCAUGAGGAAAUUCAUGGUUGCAUUUUUCAUACACAAGAACUCAGUGGUUUUUAAAAGAGCUUAUAUACUUCAAUUUCAUAAAGUGGUCUGUGUUUUGAUGGAUUGCAAAUUGAUACUAAGAUCAGUCAAAGUAAACAUUUUCUCUCUUACAGCAAGCAAAAUAAACUUGAUUAUCAGAAAAACUGUAACAAUUUCAUCAAAAAUGUUCAGCAAUUAGACAGUUUUAAGGGCAGGGGACAUUAAUUUGUUAAAUGUUCAUCUGCUAUGAUUUCAAAUGAAAUUGCAGAUGAAUGUUUAACAAAUUAAUCUCCCCCGCCCUUAAAAUUUACCAGAAAUAAGACAUUUUCUAUUGAACCAAAUCACAAAACUUGUUUCAGCCUCUGUGGUCCUGCAGAGAUUGCAGUACAGUGAUGCCUGCUCUUUAUUUCUGGCAUGGAAGUAGCAGGGAGACAGAUGAAUGCAGAGCCUCUCUUUUUGUGGCAUAAUCCAUACAUUAUUAAUUUUUGUUGUUGUUGCUAUAAAGCUGUGAAAGAGAUGCUGUUCUGAAUUGAGCAUCACCAUUCCGAUAUGAACAGACGCAGUCCCUGAGCUACCCAGUCAACUAAUUAAUGCUGCAUAAUUUAAUAAAGGAUGGUAAUUAGUCAGUUUUCCCCAUCUUGUUCCCCUCCCUGCUAAUGAUAACAUUAUCGAGCUGAGGCAGGGUGUAGUGAGUGUGUGUGUGUGUAUAGGGAGAUAACUUACAAUGAAGGAGGAUGAGUAAGCAGAUGAAGCUGGAAAUGGUUCAGUCUAUGAUUAUAAAAUCUUCUGAUUUUGUGUUUAGAGAGAACCUCCAGAAUGUCGAAGUGAGAGCAGAAUAAAAAGCAACAAUGAAACUUGUUAAAAGAUGUAGAUGUAUUGUAGAGAAGAAAUAAUUUAAUAUUCCAUGCAACUGUUUAUUAAAUAUUACUUUACUUUUUUUUAUUGUUAUUAUUAUUCUAGUCUUAGUAAGGAGGCAAAGGUUGAAUAUACUUGCAGAAAGAAAGCGAAAGACUCCUCCACAGACUCUCUCUCCCUUGCUACCUCUGAAUGGAUGAUGAAGGAUGUCAAUUACAACAGUAUCAAACUCACUACUAAAGAUAGUCUCUUUAGGCAUUCUUCAGUAGUCCUGCCAUAUGGCACAAGCUUCUCUUCAUUGAAAGGAAGAUGCCAAAAGGUGU